UAGGGAAUCUUCGGCAAUGGACGAAAGUCUGACCGAGCAACGCCGCGUGAGUGAAGAAGGUUUUCGGAUCGUAAAACUCUGUUGUUAGAGAAGAACAAGGACGUUAGUAACUGAACGUCCCCUGACGGUAUCUAACCAGAAAGCCACGGCUAACUACGUGCCAGCAGCCGCGGUAAUACGUAGGUGGCAAGCGUUGUCCGGAUUUAUUGGGCGUAAAGCGAGCGCAGGCGGUUUCUUAAGUCUGAUGUGAAAGCCCCCGGCUCAACCGGGGAGGGUCAUUGGAAACUGGGAGACAUGAGUGCAGAAGAGGAGAGUGGAAUUCCAUGUGUAGCAGUGAAAUGCGUAGAUAUAUGGAGGAACACCAGUGGCGAAGGCGGCUCUCUGGUCUGUAACUGACGCUGAGGCUCGAGAGCGUGGGGAGCAAACAGG
This 429-nucleotide ribosomal RNA is filed under the name Gemmatimonadota bacterium. Its description in RNAcentral is "Gemmatimonadetes bacterium partial 16S ribosomal RNA". It matches the Rfam family "Bacterial small subunit ribosomal RNA", at positions 355 to 776 of the family's 1533-position model. The record is from RNAcentral. Lineage: Bacteria; Pseudomonadati; Gemmatimonadota.